ACGGGAGGCAGCAGUGAGGAAUAUUGGACAAUGGGCGCAAGCNUGAUCCAGCCAUGCCGCGUGAAGGAAGAAUGCCCUAUGGGUAGUAAACUUUUUUUAUUUGGGAAGAAACCUUUCUACGUGUAGAAAGCUGACGGUACCAAAUGAAUAAGGACCGGCUAACUCCGUGCCAGCAGCCGCGGUAAUACGGAGGGUCCAAGCGUUAUCCGGAAUCAUUGGGUUUAAAGGGUUCGCAGGCGGUCAAUUAAGUCAGUGGUGAAAUCUCGGGGCUCAACUCCGAAACUGCCAUUGAUACUGAUUGACUUGAAUUAAGUUGGAGUAGGCGGAAUGUGUAGUGUAGCGGUGAAAUGCUUAGAUAUUACACAGAACACCGAUAGCGAAGGCAGCUUACUAAACUUAUAUUGACGCUCAUGAAUUGAAAGGGUGGGGAGCGAACAGGAGUAGAUAUCCUGGUAGUCCCCGCCUUCUACGAUGGCUACUCUAUAUGGGCGAUAU
This 495-nucleotide ribosomal RNA is filed under the name uncultured bacterium. RNAcentral's name for it is "bacterial SSU rRNA". It matches the Rfam family "Bacterial small subunit ribosomal RNA", at positions 341 to 832 of the family's 1533-position model. The record is from RNAcentral.